RNAcentral lists this long non-coding RNA (1064 nucleotides) under Medicago truncatula (barrel medic). Its description in RNAcentral is "long non-coding RNA (MTRU_LNC001523)". Lineage: Eukaryota; Viridiplantae; Streptophyta; Magnoliopsida; Fabales; Fabaceae. The record is from RNAcentral.
CAAAAGGGUUUAAUUGGUUCAUCGAAUUGGUAUCUCUCUCUCAAGUUCCAAAUCCAACCAAAAGAUAUAGAAAGGGCAUUCGACUUCAAGGUUUUUUUUCUUCUGCCAUAAACCAACUACAGACUAACAAAUAUAUUCAUGUAUGCUUCUUUUAUGGCAUUCAACUGUGUUAAAAAGUGUGCGUAUGUAUUAUUGCUUAAAAUCAUUGUUUAUUUGAGUAGGUGAUGAAGAGAUACAACAUUAUUUAUAAUCAAUGUUGAUUUAAUAUUUUUUUUCUCUAACUCAUUACCAAACCCUGUAAAGUUACUUCUCAACUUUUAAAAUAAAUAAAAUGAUAUUAUGCUUAAAAAUCAUUCUUUUUGCUCAGAUUGCAUAAAAAAACAUAAAAAGUCACAAAUUUUCUUUAUUCUCUUUAAUACAUUUGUCCGUUAACUUGCAUUUUGUACAGUUGAGCAAAAAUAUUGCUUCCUUAGUAGAAUCUUUGGUAUUUGAAGACCAAAGACUUCCUAUAGUAUCUAGUGAUUAAAAUUUCAAAACCUUGAUUACUUCAGGUCCAUCGGUGAUACGAAAUUAUGGGUAGGUUAUUAUGAUAUAUGCAGCUAUGAAGGAUUCUAUUGUGAAAACCCACCAGGUAACAAAUUCGCUAUUGCUUAAGCCUCAAUUGAUUUCAAUAGUUUCCAACUAAAUGCUCCUACCCUUGAUGGUUUUAUUAAUAAACUUCCUGAUGUUACUCUUAUUUUAUCCAUGCAAAUACCACCAAUUUCAUUGGCACAAUCACAUCUCAAAUCACCAAACUUCCUUAUCUUUAUGAACAAUUUCAAUAGUUGUUAUGGGCAUGAACUCUUAUCUUGCACAUAUACAAUUUAAAAAGAAACAAUUUUCAUUUGCUAAAUUUCAGCCUGAAUUCAUUGUAGGUUUAUAUUUUAAAGCUUGUUGAUGAACGCAAUGCUAUUUUUGAAAAUGUUGGGAUUUGAGAAUGUGGCGAAGAAUGAAAGGAACAAAGGAUUUUAGAAUAGUAAUGAUGAACAAAAACAUUAAGUUUUCAUUUUCUAUCCAAUACUUCU